AAAAAAUUAUACGGAGAGUUUGAUCCUGGCUCAGGAUGAACGCUGGCGGCGUGCUUAAUACAUGCAAGUCGAACGGAGACAGUAGCAAUAUUGUCUUAGUGGCGAACGGGUGAGUAACGCGUUGGUGACCUGCCCCGAAGAGAGGGAUAGCAGUUCGAAAGGACUGAUAAUACCUCAUGUGGUUAUUGGUUUUAGAAUCCGAUAACUAAACGGAUUUAUUCGCUUCGGGAGGGGCCUGCGUCCCAUCAGCUAGUUGGUAAGGUAAUGGCCUACCAAGGCGAUGACGGGUAGGGGACCUGAGAGGGUGGCCCCCCACAAUGGAACUGAAACACGGUCCAUACACCUACGGGUGGCAGCAGUAGGGAAUAUUAGAAAUGGACGAAAGUCUGAUCUAGCAACACCGCGUGUGCGA
RNAcentral lists this ribosomal RNA (412 nucleotides) under Anaerolineaceae bacterium. Its description in RNAcentral is "bacterial SSU rRNA". It matches the Rfam family "Bacterial small subunit ribosomal RNA", at positions 1 to 408 of the family's 1533-position model. Lineage: Bacteria; Bacillati; Chloroflexota; Anaerolineae; Anaerolineales; Anaerolineaceae. The record is from RNAcentral.